Molecule: long non-coding RNA, 8769 nt
Filed under: Selaginella moellendorffii
Lineage: Eukaryota; Viridiplantae; Streptophyta; Lycopodiopsida; Selaginellales; Selaginellaceae
Description: long non-coding RNA (SMOE_LNC001473)
Source: RNAcentral
UAAGACUCACAUAUCUAGACUAUUUUGAUGAACUUGACUUGGGAGCGCUUGGUUAAGAUAAGGCCGACAAGGUCCGCUAUCUAGAAUGGCCGACAUCGUUUUGGUUACCGUUCAAGGCGGUGGUCACUUCAACACAGGUAUGCUCUUUGCAAAGAAGCUCGCUUCUCAGGGCUGCCGUGUUACGGUGCUACUGCCGUGGCUGAACCCAUCUGGAAUGACCACGGACAUAGCAAACAUUGAAAUGCGCGCUCUCAUGGAGUCCAUUCCUUCCCCUCGACCGGCUUUCAUUUUCCCUGGAGUUCGCAAGUCUCGUCCCGACCUUUUGCCAUCAUCCCCUUUUCCCGCCCUGCCUGACUCGCUCCGGAAACACCUCGAUGUGCUGCGCCCCAAAGCGGUGGUUCUCGAUCGAAUGGUGAUGUUCUGGGCAAGUCAAACUGUUGAGGAGAGAGGCAUCCCAAAGUAUAUCCUCUACACAGGUGCUUCGGCGCAUCUCGCUGUCAUGCUCUCCUUCCACGGCCCCAGCCGAAGCGGGAAUGUGGACCAAGACAUGCAGAGCGUAGUUCAUGUUCCCGGACUUCCACCUCUUCGAUGGGCUGAGCUACCUUUGGACGUUGUCAUCAAAUCCCAUGGGUAUCAUUCUUUCUAUGUUUCUGUUUGUUUCCGUGAUCUUUGUUUACAGAUUCUACUUGGGUAAAGAAGGCGUAGCCAAGCAUUUUGUCCACUCCAACGGGAUACUACUGAAUACUUCCGAAGAGCUUGAAGGACCAGUAAGACGGGCAUUUAGUGGGGGGUGAUUUCUCACGUGUCCGUGCAGAUAUUGGAUGCUUUACAUUGCGAGUACCCCGAGAUACGGUGCAUUCCCGUAGGACCUCUGUAUCCAUCUUCCUACCUCCAGGACGAUCGACCCUCUCAAGAAGACAUUCGAGGAACAGCGGUCUCAAUCGGCAAGAACAGCGAGGAUUCCACGGCGCUUGUCUCAUGGCUGGACAAGCAACCCACGGCGUCGCUGGUCCUCAUAUGCUUCGGCAGCUUUAUAGUCUUGGGCGAUGAGAUGAUUCGAGAGCUGGCACACGGACUCGAAUCGUCCGGCUUUAGAUUCCUCUGGUCGCUUCCAAGUCCCAGGAACGAGGAGCCGACCGCCUACCUGAACCGCGUGCUACCUCCAAACUUUGCGGAGCGAACCUCCGGUAGGGGGAAAAUCCUCACAGGUUGGGUGCCUCAGCAGCUGGUUCUCUCUCAUCCGGCCAUUGGUGCACUAGUUUCACACUGCGGGUGGAGUUCCGUGGUGGAGUGUAUUCUGCUGGCUGGUGUUCCCAUUCUGGCCUGGCCGUUCUUAGGUGACCAGCUCCCAACCUGCAGGCACCUUGUGGACGAGUACAAAAUUGCGGUGGAUAUUGGGGUGGAUGGUGUGCCGUCCGCAGAUGACGUCGAGCGAGGCUUGCGUGCUGUAAUGGAGGACCAAGAGCUCAGGAACCGUGCCAAGCAAAGGAGGAAGCUGGUCCGACAGGCUGCACUCUCCACCCAGCCGGGCAGCUCAGGGCAUAACUUGGCAGAGUUCAUCAGCUCGUUGGCUGGGUAAUAGCGUCUCCUCCACAUCUGUCAGGACUCCGGAGAAAAAGAUGGCAGCGUCUUGCGGAUAUCGACCCAGAAAGACAUAGUAGUAACAAGAGAUUACUGAACUCUAUGUGGUUUGAGGUGGUGGUGUUUGUAAAUCCGUGGCUUCAAAACGUGAAGUGUACAACGGUGGAAGCGCGAUUGUUCACGCGAGUGGAUCGGAGCUGCUACGCAGGACAAGCACUGCAUCUUUGCAGAAAGGAUUCCUUCCCAUGCUGGGCAGUUUAGGAACCAAGAGAGAAGUCACAGCGUUUGCUUUUCUUUGAUGCAUUCGCUGUAAUGAUCUCGUUCCACCCGGAGAGAGACUGCAAUAUGAGUUUGCGUGAUCAUCUUCGGGUUGCCAGAAGUUGGCUUGGCGUAGGCUACGGACCCAAAAGCUUAGACGUGACAAAGACUUUGCUGGCUUGCUGCUUCACUGACGAACUGGAACAUCGCGUGACAAAGAUUUGGAUGGCAAUCUCAAAGACGGUAUCUUUUUUCAAUGACCACUGUAAUUAUCACAGCCAGUGGCGCAAUUAGCCAACAGAACUUAGUGACACCAAAAUCUUCAAAGACAAUUACCUAAUCACUCCCUUUCACUGCUCUCUUUCACCGGCAGCGUUUUAAGUUUACGCCAUGUAAUGACCAGUGUGAUUAUCACAGCCAGCACCGUAAGAACAGAAAUAACGUAGAAGCUGGCCCACAAGGGUUUCACCUCGUACGUAGCUGUGGUGGUGAGCAACACCACGGUACCAUCACUAAGGACCUGAGGUACUGUUUGCGCUUGCAAGAUGUCCCGGUCCUUCUUUACACUUUGCACGCUACUAUAUGCUGUAUAUGACAGUAAAACUGCACAAAAUGUGAGCUUAGUGAAUCAACUUGUGGCAAGAAGAGGUUCAAAUUACCUGCAAAACCGAGUACGAGGAGUGUCCUAUAAAGGAACUUAAACCAAAAGAUGGGGUCCUGGCUUGAAAAAACUGAUCCCUUGCUCGACUGAACAGCCUGGCCGUCGGUGUUGGUGUCCCCAACGGCGCCACCACGGUGCCAGAAUUUCUCAAAGGACUCUUCAAUAUCCUGCAACUUGGUACUCGUUGCCAAUAAACAUGUUCCCACGAAGGACACAAUCGCUGACAAAAUCCCGCCAUAGACUUCGUGUCUGUUGUUUGAUCCAUCAUUCCACAGCUUGUUCUGCUUGAACUUAACAUCUCUGAGCUGUAACAUGGAUUCGACCAUCAGUUUAAUCUCUGUGCUGAUAGCAGUGUCCAGCUUGGUCACACAUAGCUUGUCCUUGAACUCGAGCUGUCCCAUAGGCAGAUCUCCGAAACAGGGUGUACUGAUCUUGUUCUGGGGGGGAGUGGGAGCCCAGAGGAACCGUCUCAUCUUGUUGAGAUAGUACUCACUAUCUUGAGUGCUUAAUACCAGCUGAUCAGUACUGCACCUGUUCUGAACCUCCACACUGGAUGGCACCGGUAUUUGCUGCAUCAAUGCUUCCACACAGACUGUUGUGUUCGCCAUGGCCUGGAAGUCAUUCGCUGUAACCCCAGUGAGGGAGGACCCGAAAGAGGUAUUCCCCUUAAAGGUUGCAACAAAUGGUAUAGGCUUGUCAGAUGAGGUGUUGUGUACGGUAAGAACAAGCCAAGUGUUUCCACCGGUGUUCCAAGCCCAGUAAGACGUCAGCAAAUCGCAGGAGGAACGAUAGUCGAACAAUCCCCAGCUGCUGGUGUCCAUGUUCCUGGUGACCACGACACAUACCCUGGUGGAGGAAUUGGAGCAGCCGCAUUGGAGGCUGGGAAACCCGAGGUAUGCUGUGGCGUCGUUGCUGUAGUAAGACGGUGCAAACCGACACUUUGGUACAUCCUUAGUGUUCGUAAGAUAAUAGUGGCUGGAGGUGUUGAGCUUCUGGUACUUGGUGAAGUCCGUCCUUGCACUGCUGGCGUAGUUGGAAAGGUAGAAUCCUGAUGUGCUACGCGGCAUGUUGUUCAGAUCUGGUUCAAUGCUGGGUGCAGUUGCAGCCCUGUAAGGUACAGCAAUAAAGAGCAGGCUGAGAUCCGCUUCGCUUUCCUUCUGAAGGAUGGGAGUAGUCCAGAGGCAUGACCGAUUGCUCUGGUCAUUACCAGUGGAUAGGCACAUGCGGAUGCUGAUGCCCCAGUCCACUCGCAUUCUCCAUUGCCAGUUGUGCCGGUGCUGCUUCAUGUGACCACCUGCAACGUGGGGCUCGGCCGAGGCAUACAGCUUGUUGGCUCCCUCAUCACUCGUCCAGUUGCUGAUCACUCUCCAUGCACUAGCUUGCUGGUAGGCGGAAUUGGCGAGCUCAAUGUCGAUGCCACUUGUCGUGGACAGGACACUGGCAAGGGAAGAACGCAGAGACCAUCUGUAGAACGGAUCGAAUUCGUUUACAAAGCUGUUUACUUCGGGGCAUGCAAAACCUUCUCUGGACGGGAGGUCGAGGUAGAAAUGCUCAUCGUCGGAUCCAUGACAAGAAUGCGCGAGAAGCAGGAGUAGUGUUGCUGUGGGCAGAAGCAGCGAGAAGAGAAUACUUGUCAGAGAGGGGUGAAACCAAUUGCAGAAGCUACUACUGCCUACAUUCUCUGCCUGAGCCAUUAUAGCUUAUAAUCCUAUGAUUCACAACUGCAGCCAUAUAUAAGGAUAUGAGGACAUUCGUUUUACGUGCUUUUUUGUUUUCAUACUACAAGUUGAAGGCGAAAGUGUUGUGGAUGCUUCCUAUUCCUUUAAAGAUCCAAUGGUUCCUUGUCUACAAACGAGCUUAAGAGCACGGAUCUUCCAUAAACCUCUUUCUUUAUGAAUGUUCACAUGGCAUCAUAGAAAGAAAAGAAUUCUUCCCAAAGUCUCCUCUGAUAUUCAGGAGAAUUUGUCAAUGGCUGGUGAUGUUAACCUGUAUGCAAGCAUUAGUUAUAUUAAGAACAUUGGACGCACGAAGUGACAAAUUAUAUGCAUACACGAGUUGACAAGUUUCGGUUAUCAUUAUUAAUCUUCUUUGUCAACCAACGCUAGCUGAGGCUGGGUAAGACCUUGAGUAUAAUGCACGAGAUUUGGACCGAGGAUGAAAAAGAUGCCGCCUUGGUAACAAUUAGUCAAUGUAUGAGGCAACUAUUUUUCCGCGAACUUUAACACGAUCUAAAGAUCUGAGCACGCACAACAGGUUUGCUGAACGCAUGCCUACAGCUAAAACCCAGCGAAUCUUUUUUGCAGCUUCCAACAUUAGUGAAAAUUUAUUAGAGAUAAGUUUUUAUCUGUUCGCAAUAACUUACUAGAACGCCUGCUUGAACUGCAUGAUGCGAAUCAGUAACAGCAUCUGGAUGAAAGAGAAGACAAUGCGAGUUUGGAAAUCAAAUCAAUCAAAACCAAGCUGCGAGACAUACAAUUUGUACGGUACAAUUAAUUAUAUAACUAGCGAGCAUAUGGCGUUGACCAUCCACAAUCUGGUCAACCAUAUUACUUUGACCGGCCAUGACCAGAAGAUUCCUUUACGCCCACCGAAAAACUGGACAGAGCGUUUGCAGCCUUAUCAACGUGGGUCGGCCAAAGAGGAAAAGCAAUGCUCUUGCCAGAUUGAACGGACGCACUCGUAGCCACGAGGUAGAGCGACGCCUGGCGUGGUACACAGCGAAACAAGGAAAGAGUGAAUCUUUCGGGAAGUGCAGCUAAAAGCUUUCCAGCGAUGGAAAAGUUCGUAUAGCUUUUGCGCGAUGACGCACAGGUCCGCUGCAUUAAAUCUGAAAGAGCGAAUGAGUGGGUGCUGGCGAAUAAGUUCAAAGAAAAACUAAAGAACCUGGAUCGAAUGUGAAGCUUUCAAAGAAAGGCUAUAAACCCCGCAGUAUCUGCAAGUUCAUGGCUCUUCUCUUCUCUGCGUUAUUAAAAACCGAACCGAAAAAGAGCACAAAAGCCUGCUGUGCCGUUGUGCUGCUGUGCUGCCGCGGCACGAACGAGACAGACAGGCCAAGAGAUUGAUUAGCGCUAAUUGCGGAUAUCGGGAAUCAUAAUUACCUUGAGCGAUGGUGGGUGAUCAAGUUUUCCUGGACGAAAGCCGCGGCGAGAGGCUGCUCCCUGUCUGGUGCAUUUAAAGUUGAUCUAUUCCCAUUCGGCGUCACCACCAUUCUCAUUCAUGGCCGCGUUCUCAGCUUGCAGAUCGUAGUCGCGGCUCAUUUGGUUGUUUUUGUCUUUCGCGCUUUUGCCAGGCCGUCUAUUCCCUUUUGUCAGGGACAUCCAAUCUACAGCAUCAGGCACAAACGGCAUGGUUUCCAAGAGAAGCUCGGCAACUUCCAGAUGCCCUGCCUUGGCAAUGAGGUCUACCAUGCACGCGUAGUGUUGCUUGGUAGGCUUUAACGCGAAGUCCCCUUGCAACGACACGAAGCACGGCGUCGAGUCCACCAACAUGUCCCAGGGAAAUCAAAAUGGGGGCAAAGCAGGAUUCACCAGCUGCUUCAAUGAAAUUUAUGGUUUGGAAAAGGUGGCGGGCUUCAAAGGAGUGGCCGGUGUAGGCAUAAGCAGCCAGCAUAACGCUCCACACGGUGAGAUCUCUCUCCAGCAUCAAAUCGAACACUUUCUUGGCUUCUAAAACAUGCCCAUUCAAGGCAUAUGCGAUGAGCAUGAUGGUCCGAGAUACUACGUCAUGCUCCGGCAUGGAAAUGAAAACAAGUUUUGCGUCGUUAAGAUGACCGACUUGGGCAUACGAAAUGAGCAUGUUAGUACAAGAAACAAGGUCUUGUUGUGGCAUGGAGUCAAACAAAAAUCGAGCUUUUUCAAGGUACCCUUUUGAGGCAUACGCCGCUAACAUUGCGUUUUGUGAAACUAAAUCCUUGCAUGGCAAAGAUUCAUAGACCACCCUAGCAUCGACUAUGGCACCAUACGUAGAGAGAAACGUGAGCAUAACAGUACAUGAUACUGUAUCCUGCAUUGGCAUUGUGUCGUAUGUACGUUUGGCUCGAUCAAUAUUGCCUUCUUGGAUAUAUGCGUUUAAAAGUGAUGUCCAGGAAAGCAUAUCCCACUGUGGCAUGGUAUCAAAUAAGGCUUUGGAAUCUUUCCCAGUACUGUGCUGGGAAAAUGCCGAGAGCAUUACGUUAUAUGCCACUAUAUCUCUCUGUGGCAUAGCAUCGAAGAGGGCCUUACACUCAAAAAGAUACCCAAUGCGGGCAUAUGCUGUUAAGACGAUAGUCCAAGAGACAAAAUUGGCUUCCGGAAGAGCGUUGAAAAAUCUUUGCAAUUCCAAAACGUAGUCCUCUUGGUCAAACCCAGUCAACAUUGCGUUGAAAGAAGCCACGUCCCAUUGGGGCAUCUUGCCAAACAAAAGCUUCGCAAUGCUAGUGUCUCCCUUCGCGGCAUACGCAGAGACCAUCGCGUUCCACGAGACUAUAGUUUUUUCGGGCAUACAAUCGAAAAAUCUCUGCGCGGCUGCGAGGUCUCCGUGCUGGAACUAAUCUCGAACUAAUCUCCUCGACAUAUUGCAACGAGUACGAGGAUGUGGCACGGAGGGUCGCUGCCGAGACAGUUUCCAUCGAGCUCAGAUGGAUGUAAGUGGGUUUGAGCAAUCGAUCUCUUUUUUCUUUCACCACAUUCGAGGAUGGAUUUCCAAACUUGUUCGUGCUGGGAUCCGUGGCCAGCACGUUGCAUUCCUUGCGCCUUUCAGCUCUCCCGCCGUGAUCUUUGAGAGCUCUUGGUGAUCUACGCUCUUCCCAGGAUGUUCAUCGCUUCCUUCACGGUCGUGGUGCUGUUCUUCCCGACUGGAACGUUGGAGCGCAUGGAAGACGAGGGUGACAUCGGCUUUCACUCUCCAACAUUCCAAUCUCCAGGGGUGGUCCGACGAGUCUCGUCAUCUUUGACAUCCACGCUCUCCAGGUUUGCUUGUUUCUCUUUUCUUUUCGCUCUUUUCGCUCACCCGGACUUGCAAAGCAGGAGAGGUUUUACUUUGGUGACAGCGUUCUUCCCUGCUUCGACAGUGGCAUCCCGCUGCUGAAGCUUCCGGAUUCCAAAAAUGUGAGACUCAGUCGAGAGCUUGCAAGCGAUGUCCCAAAAAUCUCUUACAGGUGACUAUAGCGAGGGAGCUUGGAAGCGCCUCCACAAGCAAUUCGAGCACUUCCCCACGGUUAAGUCCGUGACUUCUUCUCUCUAACUGUAUUUCGCUGGUGGAUCAUACGUUACACGCCAGCUGCGCCGCUGGGGCUCGAAUCUCUCUAGCCUGCGAAUCAGAGAUCUAACUGUUCAUUGUGUGAAGAAGAAGCAUCACACUGGCAUAUUCGUUCGACCGGCAUCUUAAAUUUACAUAGCUGAACUGGCCACGUGGAAAAAAAACAAAGCAUGAAAAUAGUGCUAGACGAAACCCUUGGCUAACAACAAGUCAAGUUCAUCAAAAUAGUCUAGAUAUGUGAGUCUUACAGGAGUCUGACAGGAGCGCUUGGUUAGGAUAAGGCCGACAAGGUCGGCUAUCUAGAAUGGCCAACAUCGUUUUGGUUACCGUUCAAGGCGGUGGUCACUUCAACACAGGUAUGCUCUUUGCAAAGAAGCUCGCUUCUCAGGGCUGCCGUGUUACGGUGCUACUGCCGUGGCUGAACCCAUCUGGAAUGACCACGGACAUAGCAAACAUUGAAAUGCGCGCUCUCAUGGAGUCCACUCCUUCCCCUCGACCGGCUUUCAUUUUCCCUGGAGUUCGCAAGUCUCGUCCCGACCUUGUGCCAUCAUCCCGUUUUCCCACUGCCCUGCCUGACUCGCUCCGGAAACACCUCGAUGUGCUGCGCCCCAAAGCGGUGGUUCUCGAUCGAAUGGUGAUGUUCUGGGCAAGUCAAACUGUGGAGGAGAGAGGCAUCCCAAAGUAUAUCCUCUACACAGGUGCUUCGGCGCAUCUCGCUGUCAUGCUCUCCUUCCACGGCCCCAGCCGAAGCGGGAAUGUGGACCAAGACAUGCAGAGCGUAGUUCAUGUUCCCGGACUUCCACCUCUUCGAUGGGCUGAGCUACCUUUGGACGUUGUCGUCAAAUCCCAUGGGUAUCAUUCUUUCUAUGUUUCUGUUUGUUUCCGUGAUCUUUGUUUACAGAAUCUACUUGGGUAAAGAAGGCGUAGCCAAGCAUUUUGUCCACUCCAACGGGAUACUACUGAAUACUUCCGAAGAGCUUGAAGGACCAGUAAGACGGGCAUUUAGUGGGGGGUGAUUUCUCACGUGUCCGUGC